Triticum dicoccoides is the source of this 1047-nucleotide RNA transcript. RefSeq lists it as uncharacterized. The transcript is spliced from 3 exons. Lineage: Eukaryota; Viridiplantae; Streptophyta; Magnoliopsida; Poales; Poaceae. The record is from RefSeq and is a predicted model, not a curated record.
UAUGAUUGUUCACUUUCCCCAUUCUGUAGUCUUCUGGACUUCUCCGUUCUCUCCACCCACUCAGUGACAAUGUUCCUCUUGCCCGAUCCCCUUUCUCCUUUCCUUAUUCUCUUUGCUCACUCAAAAAUUGCUGCUCCUCCCAUCAGCUUGCUCUCUUGUUCGCUGCCUUUAGGUUCCUCGUCCUCACCUCAAGCCACUCCGCAGCUGGUGCUGCCACAGGGACAACAGCUGGUUUGGCUCCUCGUACGCCUCCUCGUUCUCCUAGCCCUUUGCUGGUAAACUACGAUGGAUGAGGCGAGAUCAUCGAUCUGCACAGUGCCGUUGACCCGUUGUAAUUGGUGUCCGUGUAGUUGAUUUGGUCGUGGAUUUCAUCUCCCGUAGGCCGCACCCCUCUUAGAUCCAGCUUGGGUGUGAGGAUGGUGGCGGGGUUCUCUUCCCCAAGCGCGCAAGCAAGAGCGUUGUCGCUCUUUCCACUCGAGGCGGCUCGGGACAUGGUCCUCAUCCUCCACAGCGACAACAUUCUUCGAAGGUCGACCUGCAGACAGUGGUGGACCUAGAGAUCGUGCUUUGCUGUGGCGAUGGACGACGAUAAAUAUCAUGGCGGUGCUCCCGCUGGUCAUUGGACAGGGGAGUACCCUUCUCGGCCGCUUGAGACCUUGACCAGCUGCCCCGCUUGAUGAUCGUACAUACUGGAGGUGAUCUAGUUGCUCAACGGAGCCGGCUGGUGCCCAAUGCCGAAGUGCCACUGGUUGGAGGAAGUUGACCUUAAAGUGUUGUUCAAUGGAGGAAGAUGAUGUACAAGGUUGUUCGGAUGCCGAGAGAUUUUUUAUAUGCAUGCGACCAUGAGAUUUUGGUCCUAUCUAGAGAUAUUCUGUUUGGAGAGAUCAAAUCUCUGCAAAUUUCUGAGAGUUUGGAUUUGUUUGGAGGGAUGGCAUCUUUGUACAGUUUUUUUGUGGGCAGGAUCUUCAGAGUUUGGUCAUGUUUCUUACCCUGUACGCCCUAUUUUUUUAUUACAUGGGAUGGUCUGAUCGCUCGUGGGAUGGUGCA